GCCGCGGUAAUUCCAGCUCCAAUAGCGUAUAUUAAAGUUGUUGUGGUUAAAAAGCUCGUAGUUGGAUCUCGGCGGACUGAGGGCGGUUUGCUUGCUAGUAUUACUGCCCUAUAGUCCGUAGUUUUGCCAGAGGUUUCGGGGUGCUCUUAAUCGAGUGUCCCGGGAUGCUGGCAGGUUUACUUUGAAAAAAUUAGAGUGCUCAAAGCAGGCUAUUACGCCUGAAUAUUCGUGCAUGGAAUAAUAGAAUAGGAAGUCGUUUCUAUUUUGUUGGUUUUCGGAAAUCGACUUAAUGAUUAAUAGGGACAGUCGGGGGCAUUUGUAUUCAAACGACAGAGGUGAAAUUCUUGGACCGUUUGAAGACAAACUACUGCGAAAGCAUUUGCCAAGAAUGUUUUCAUUAAUCAAGAACGAAAGUUAAAGGUUCGAAGGCGAUUAGAUACCGCCCUAGUUUUAACCAUAAACGAUGCCAGCUAGCGAUCUGCGGACGUUUUUUUUGUAGACUCCGCAGGAAGCUUCCGGGAAACCAAAGCAUUUGGGUUCCAGGGGAAGUAUGGUUGCAAAGCUGAAACUUAAAGGAAUUGACGGAAGGGCACCACCAGGAGUGGAGCCUGUGGCUUAAUUUGACUCAACACGGGAAAUCUCACCAGGCCCGGACACUGGAAGGAUUGACAGAUUGAUAGCUCUUUCUUGAUUCGGUGGGUGGUGGUGCAUGGCCGUUCUUAGUUGGUGGAGUGAUUUGUCUGGUUAAUUCCGAUAACGAACGAGACUCUGUCCUGCUAAAUAGUGUCUGCUUCUCUUUUGAGCAGACAAUUCUUCUUAGAGGGACUGGCGACUCUUUAGUCGCACGAGAUUGAGCAAUAACAGGUCUGUGAUGCCGACGGCGGAUUCGUUAACUGGCAG
Molecule: ribosomal RNA, 900 nt
Filed under: uncultured eukaryote
Lineage: Eukaryota
Description: SSU rRNA
Rfam family: Eukaryotic small subunit ribosomal RNA
Source: RNAcentral